RNAcentral lists this long non-coding RNA (446 nucleotides) under Ornithorhynchus anatinus (platypus). Its description in RNAcentral is "lncRNA (ENSOANG00000038189.1)". The record is from RNAcentral. Lineage: Eukaryota; Metazoa; Chordata; Mammalia; Monotremata; Ornithorhynchidae.
CCGGCCCCCACCCCCCUCACCUGGCUCCUUCCCUCCCAUUGGCUCCUUCCCCCCUAUUGACCCCGCCCCCUUGGCCUGGCUCCUCCCCCUCCCUCCGAUCCCUCCCCUCCCAUUGGCUCCUCCCUUCCCCUGGCCCCGCCCCCAAGCGGCCCCGCCCCCCCGGGGGCGCCCGUCCUUGUCGGCCGGCCCGGCGGGGAAGGGGUGACCGAGAGGCGGAGGAAGGGAUCCUCGGCCACGAUGACGAGGAAGAAGACGACGAGGAGGAAGAGCGAGAGGUGGAGGGAAUAGAGGAGGAGGAAGAGGAGGCCGAGGAGAUAGCGGAAGAGGAGGAAGAGGCCGAGGACAUAGAGGAGGAGGAGGAGGAAGGUGAGGAAAUAGCGGAGGAGGAGGAGGAAGAGGCCGAGGACAUAGAGGAGGAGGAAGGUGAGGAAAUAGCGGAGGAGGAG